UUGCCAGCCGCCGCGGUAAUACGGAGGGUGCAAGCGUUAUCCGGAUUCACUGGGUUUAAAGGGUGCGUAGGUGGGCAGGUAAGUCAGUGGUGAAAUCCUUGAGCUUAACUCGAGAACUGCCAUUGAUACUAUCUGUCUUGAAUGUUGUGGAGGUGAGCGGAAUAUGUCAUGUAGCGGUGAAAUGCUUAGAUAUGACAUAGAACAUCUAUUGCGAAGGCAGCUCACUACGCAAAUAUCGACACUGAGGCACGAAAGCGUGGGGAUCAAACAGGAUUAGAUACCCUGGUAGUCC
Molecule: ribosomal RNA, 292 nt
Filed under: uncultured bacterium
Lineage: Bacteria
Description: partial 16S ribosomal RNA
Rfam family: Bacterial small subunit ribosomal RNA
Source: RNAcentral